RNAcentral lists this ribosomal RNA (1343 nucleotides) under uncultured bacterium. RNAcentral's name for it is "16S ribosomal RNA". It matches the Rfam family "Bacterial small subunit ribosomal RNA", at positions 28 to 1378 of the family's 1533-position model. The record is from RNAcentral.
GACGAACGCUGGCGGCGUGCUUAACACAUGCAAGUCGAACGGAAAGGCCCUGCUUUUGUGGGGUGCUCGAGUGGCGAACGGGUGAGUAACACGUGAGUAACCUGCCCUUGACUUUGGGAUAACUUCAGGAAACUGGGGCUAAUACCGGAUAGGAGCUCCUGCUGCAUGGUGGGGGUUGGAAAGUUUCGGCGGUUGGGGAUGGACUCGCGGCUUAUCAGCUUGUUGGUGGGGUAGUGGCUUACCAAGGCUUUGACGGGUAGCCGGCCUGAGAGGGUGACCGGCCACAUUGGGACUGAGAUACGGCCCAGACUCCUACGGGAGGCAGCAGUGGGGAAUAUUGCACAAUGGGCGGAAGCCUGAUGCAGCAACGCCGCGUGCGGGAUGACGGCCUUCGGGUUGUAAACCGCUUUCGCCUGUGACGAAGCGUGAGUGACGGUAAUGGGUAAAGAAGCACCGGCUAACUACGUGCCAGCAGCCGCGGUGAUACGUAGGGUGCGAGCGUUGUCCGGAUUUAUUGGGCGUAAAGGGCUCGUAGGUGGUUGAUCGCGUCGGAAGUGUAAUCUUGGGGCUUAACCCUGAGCGUGCUUUCGAUACGGGUUGACUUGAGGAAGGUAGGGGAGAAUGGAAUUCCUGGUGGAGCGGUGGAAUGCGCAGAUAUCAGGAGGAACACCAGUGGCGAAGGCGGUUCUCUGGGCCUUUCCUGACGCUGAGGAGCGAAAGCGUGGGGAGCGAACAGGCUUAGAUACCCUGGUAGUCCACGCUGUAAACGGUGGGUACUAGGUGUGGGGUCCAUUCCACGGGUUCCGUGCCGUAGCUAACGCUUUAAGUACCCCGCCUGGGGAGUACGGCCGCAAGGCUAAAACUCAAAGGAAUUGACGGGGCCCCGCACAAGCGGCGGAGCAUGCGGAUUAAUUCGAUGCAACGCGUAGAACCUUACCUGGGUUUGACAUGGAUCGGGAGUGCUCAGAGAUGGGUGUGCCUCUUUUGGGGUCGGUUCACAGGUGGUGCAUGGCUGUCGUCAGCUCGUGUCGUGAGAUGUUGGGUUAAGUCCCGCAACGAGCGCAACCCUUGUUCACUGUUGCCAGCACGUUAUGGUGGGGACUCAGUGGAGACCGCCGGGGUCAACUCGGAGGAGGGUGGGGAUGACGUCAAGCCAUCAUGCCCCUUAUGUCCAGGGCUUCACGCAUGCUACAAUGGCUGGUACAGAGAGUGGCGAGCCUGUGAGGGUGAGCGAAUCUCGGAAAGCCGGUCUCAGUUCGGAUUGGGGUCUGCAACUCGACCUCAUGAAGUCGGAGUCGCUAGUAAUCGCAGAUCAGCAACGCUGCGGUGAAUACGUUCCCGGG